Molecule: RNA transcript, 2377 nt
Organism: Lonchura striata (white-rumped munia)
Lineage: Eukaryota; Metazoa; Chordata; Aves; Passeriformes; Estrildidae
Source: RefSeq, a predicted model, not a curated record
CCGGGGGCUCGUGGCCGGGGUGGGCCUUGGCGGGGCUCGGCCCGUCCGUGGCAGGCACCCGCUGCCGCUUGUGCGGCAUGGGCAGGCGGGUGAAGGACGUGUUAGCGUGAUGUGUGGAAAGGGGAAAAUCUGCUGUCAACGAGGCUGCUCCUUGCUUGCAUACCGCUUUUUUUUUUAUGGGCCUUGUCUGGAGGAUGUAGUCGCUCUCAGGGAAGAGUGAUGUGUUUUCUCAGAAUGUAUGGAGAACGCAGGGGUGCGGGUGAUUGAAUAAUACCUUGUUGGUCCAGGCUGUGCUUAGACCAAUGAAGGAAGCAACUUCUUUUAAGGAUGAAAGUAGUUGAAAGGCCAGCCGUGCAGAGUUCCAUUAAACAGUCCAGUGUUUACUUCAGGAUCCUGGGAAAUAGGCAACAGGAUAGUCUCCAAAGGGAAGGACCCAGAACAUGCAAAAUUGGGCCUCCUGAAGGGACUGAAAAUGUUCCUAAGUAGGCAGUGCUGGUCUGCCUGCAAGUAGAUAAAUGAAAUGUAAAAAAUUAUUUGUUUUUCUAGUCCAUAAAAUGAGGAAAGCUAAACCAAUUUGAGGGGAAAAUUCAACAUGUCUGGCUUCUCAGCAGCCCCGGAGUCUACAGGGGUGGGCAGAGGAGGAAGAUAAUUUCCAACUGUGGUGUGUGAAACCCUGCCUUAAGAAGUAAAUUCCAGGUCUAGAAAAUGGAAAAAUAAGAAGAUGAGGAUAGUAGUGGGAGGGUCAGGUUUUAUAAGCACUUAAUUUGAUAGUUUGCUUCUCAAAAAUUAUAUUCUGACUUUCCCUGUUGUUCCUCUGAAUUUUCAAAAGCUUUUUAAAGGAAAAUGAAUUACAGAUCUGGAAAUUUUUUGUUGGUAUUGACCCAGGCAAAACCAUGACAAAUCUGCCAAAUCUGGAUUUAAGUGUCUCAGCAAAAGAGGGAGAUUAGGACAGAUGUUCAGACAGAGAUUGAUGUACGUAUCUUUAGUCUGCUUGUGUCCUAAACUUUGAAUUCCCUACUGCCAGUCUUUCCCUAUAAUUACCUCCCAGAACAAUUACUCUUUCCUAAUGACUUCCAUUCCAACCUCCUAAAUCAUACACAGGUUUAAACUCAUCCCUCCAUCCUCCCUUCCAAGUGAUCCCCAAUACAGGAUGAACCAGUAUGUCACAACAGGAAGGUGGCUACGGGUUAUUACCUGAUUCUUCAGCCACGGACACUGCGCUUGUGGGCAAGGAACAAUGGCAAAUGGCUCCGAAUAACCCCGGUCUUUCUCUGAGCAAGGGCUCGAUUCGGUGACCUCUGAAAGUUGCUCCAAGCUGCAAUAAUUCCAUGGUUCUUUACUGUGCCAGCAACUUCCACAAAGCAGAUUUUUGACAUUAAAAGCAAGGAUCACCUGUAAUGGCAUUUGGCCACUUUUCUAUUCAACUGAGAAUACCAAAGAAUUUCCGUGCAUUUUCCCAGAGAGUUCUUGAACACAAGAAGAACAGAAACUUUCCAGUUAAGGUACCACAUUGACUCAAGAGAUGGUACUUCAGUUCUUGUCUUUGUCACACCUGUGACACACCUGUGACACCUGCUCUGCAAAGCACCAAAUGGCUGACCCAGAAGACCACAGCUCACAUUUAAGUUGAUCUUGCCAUCUAGAGGCAUUAGUUGUGUGUCCACAAAUCUAUUUCUCUGCUUUGAUUGCAGGAAAGGGACACAGAGAUAGGCUGGUACUGUCUCUGCUAAACAAAAUGCAAUUUUUUUCUGCCAGGUGUUAGUGCUGCUAGGCAAACAAACUGUUAAGGAAACUACUUUGUUAAAAUGAAAAUGAAUAUAAAAUAAAACAUGAAAAAAUUGAGUUUUUAAAAUUUGAGCCAUUUCUCCUCUCUGAAAUCAGCUCCCUUUGCCUGACUGCACAUCACAUCCCAACCUGGAUGCUGAGUUUAGCUUUUGUGUACUGUAAAGCUGAUGGCAGCCGAGGCAUCAGCCAGAGACUCACUCUGCUAACUCCAGAAAUUUCCUUUUCUCCUUCCUAUGAUUUCUUCCUCAGAAGAAAAACCUGCCUUCACAAAGCCCUUCCUACUUUCAAGGCUGAACAUUAAUGAUGACCUCCUCUCUGAUACUGGUUCUUCAUCCUGUCUUCACUUCAUCCCCACAUUUUAACAAACCAAUGCAGGCCAAGGACAGCGUAACCAGGGGAUGCCAUGGCUACUUCCAAUCUGUAUCUGUCAUAUUAAAAUAAUCUGUUGUAUACUAAGGGGUAGAUUUGAUUUCUUUUCCAAUGUGUUAUUUACAAUCUGGCAGAGUUCAGUACAAAUGUGGGAACUGAUCCUGCAAUUUGAUCAGCCCCGGCAGACCCAAUGAAGUCAAUGGAGUCUGCAUGGAUGGAUCAG